This 442-nucleotide ribosomal RNA is filed under the name bacterium CPTAC13B. Its description in RNAcentral is "bacterial SSU rRNA". It matches the Rfam family "Bacterial small subunit ribosomal RNA", at positions 949 to 1397 of the family's 1533-position model. The record is from RNAcentral.
UUUUGAACGCGAAGAACCUUACCUGGGUUUGACAUGGCCGCAAAACCUGCAGAGAUGUGGGGUCCUUCGGGGGCGGUCACAGGUGGUGCAUGGCUGUCGUCAGCUCGUGUCGUGAGAUGUUGGGUUAAGUCCCGCAACGAGCGCAACCCUUGUUCGAUGUUGCCAGCGGUUCGGCCGGGGACUCAUCGAAGACUGCCGGGGUCAACUCGGAGGAAGGUGGGGAUGAGGUCAAGUCAUCAUGCCCCUUAUGUCCAGGGCUUCACGCAUGCUACAAUGGCCGGUACAAAGGGCUGCGAUACCGUAAGGUGGAGCGAAUCCCAAAAAGCCGGUCUCAGUUCGGAUCGGGGUCUGCGAACUCGACCCCGUGAAGUCGGAGUCGCUAGUAAUCGCAGAUCAGCAACGCUGCGGUGGAUACGUUCCCGGGUCUUGUACACACGCCAAA